RNAcentral lists this ribosomal RNA (656 nucleotides) under uncultured eukaryote. Its description in RNAcentral is "SSU rRNA". It matches the Rfam family "Eukaryotic small subunit ribosomal RNA", at positions 1021 to 1699 of the family's 1831-position model. The record is from RNAcentral.
UAGUUCUAACCCAUAAACGAUGCCAGCUAGCGAUCUGAGGACGUUUUUUUUGUAGACUCCUCAGGAAGCUUCCGGGAAACCAAAGCGUGUGGGUUCCGGGGGAAGUAUGGUUGCAAAGCUGAAACUUAAAGGAAUUGACGGAAGGGCACCACCAGGAGUGGAGCCUGCGGCUUAAUUUGACUCAACACGGGAAAUCUCACCAGGCCCGGACACUGGAAGGAUUGACAGAUUGAGAGCUCUUUCUCGAUUCGGUGGGUGGUGGUGCAUGGCCGUUCUUAGUUGGUGGAGUGAUUUGUCUGGUUAAUUCCGAUAACGAACGAGACUCUGUCCUGCUAAAUAGUGUCAGCCUCUCUUUUGGGCUGACAAUUCUUCUUAGAGGGACUGGCGGCUCCUAGCCGCACGAGAUAGAGCAAUAACAGGUCUGUGAUGCCCUUAGAUGUUCUGGGCCGCACGCGCGCUACACUGAAUAGAUCAGCGUGUUCUCCCUUUCUGAGAAGAACGGGUAAACCGCUGAACCCUAUUCGUGGUAGGGAUCGGGGCUUGCAAUUAUUCCCCGUGAACCAGGAAUUCCCAGUAGGCGCGAGUCAUAAGCUCGCGUCGAUUACGUCCCUGCCCUUUGUACACACCGCCCGUCGCUAUUACCGAUUGAAUGGCUA